This 646-nucleotide ribosomal RNA is filed under the name uncultured bacterium. RNAcentral's name for it is "bacterial SSU rRNA". It matches the Rfam family "Bacterial small subunit ribosomal RNA", at positions 8 to 700 of the family's 1533-position model. The record is from RNAcentral.
AGAGUUUGAUCCUGGCUCAGAACGAACGCUGGCGGAAGGCUUAACACAUGCAAGUCGAGCGCACCCUUCGGGGUGAGCGGCAGACGGGUGAGUAACGCGUGGGAACGUACCCUUUGGUUCGGAAUAGCCCUUGGAAACGAGGAGUAAUGCCGGAUAAGCCCUACGGGGGAAAGAUUUAUCGCCGAAGGAUCGGCCCGCGUUAGAUUAGCUAGUUGGUGGGGUAAAAGCCUACCAAGGCGACGAUCUAUAGCUGGUCUGAGAGGAUGAUCAGCCACACUGGGACUGAGACACGGCCCAGACUCCUACGGGAGGCAGCAGUGGGGAAUCUUGGACAAUGGGCGCAAGCCUGAUCCAGCCAUUCCGCGUGGAUGAUGAAGGCCUUAGGGUUGUAAAAUCCUUUCAGCGGGGAAGAUAAUGACGGUACCCGCAGAAGAAGCCCCGGCUAACUCCGUGCCAGCAGCCGCGGUAAUACGGAGGGGGCUAGCGUUGUUCGGAAUUACUGGGCGUAAAGCGCGCGUAGGCGGAUCAGCCAGUCAGAGGUGAAAGCCCAGGGCUCAACCCUGGAACUGCCUUUGAUACUGUUGAUCUGGAGUUCGGUAGAGGUGUGUGGAAUUCCGAGUGUAGAGGUGAAAUUCGUAGAUAUUCG